This 428-nucleotide ribosomal RNA is filed under the name uncultured bacterium. RNAcentral describes it as "bacterial SSU rRNA". It matches the Rfam family "Bacterial small subunit ribosomal RNA", at positions 355 to 775 of the family's 1533-position model. The record is from RNAcentral.
UGGGGAAUAUUGCGCAAUGGGCGAAAGCCUGACGCAGCGACGCCGCGUGAGGCAUGAAGGUUUUCGGAUCGUAAACCUCUGUCAGAAGGGAAGAAACUACGUUGUGCUAAUCAGCAGCGUACUGACGGUACCUUCAAAGGAAGCACCGGCUAACUCCGUGCCAGCAGCCGCGGUAAUACGGAGGGUGCAAGCGUUAAUCGGAAUUACUGGGCGUAAAGCGCACGUAGGCUGUAGUGUAAGUCAGGGGUGAAAUCCCACGGCUCAACCGGGGAACUGCCUUUGAUACUGCACAACUUGAAUCCGGGAGAGGGUGGCGGAAUUCCAGGUGUAGGAGUGAAAUCCGUAGAUAUCUGGAGGAACAUCAGUGGCGAAGGCGGCCACCUGGACCGGUAUUGACGCUGAGGUGCGAAAGCGUGGGGAGCAAACAG